RNAcentral lists this long non-coding RNA (223 nucleotides) under Homo sapiens (human). Its description in RNAcentral is "non-protein coding lnc-EGFL6-10:2". The record is from RNAcentral. Lineage: Eukaryota; Metazoa; Chordata; Mammalia; Primates; Hominidae.
GCCAGAGAAAAUAGCAUGUCCUGCAAUGGCCUAGACCUUGGAGGACCUGCAAACAUCCAGGUUCCCGUGGAAAGGUCACAGGAAACCUCUUCGUGCUUGAGCGGAGGACUGUGCCUGUAUUUAGGUGGGUGAUGGCGUGGGCCUAAGCAGGCCACGGACUAUCCGAUCUUCCCAUACACAGGAAAAUGUGCCUUGAACCUGAGUCCGUGUUGACUGAGGGAGA